CCUACGGGAGGCAGCAGUGAGGAAUAUUGGUCAAUGGUCGGGAGACUGAACCAGCCAAGCCGCGUGAGGGAGGAAGGUACAGAGUAUCGUAAACCUCUUUUGUCAGGGAACAAAGGCGGGGACGUGUCCCCGGAUGAGUGUUCCUGACGAAAUAGCAUCGGCUAACUCCGUGCCAGCAGCCGCGGUAAUACAGAGGAUGCGAGCGUUAUCCGGAUUUAUUGGGUUUAAAGGGUGCGGAGGCGGUCUGUUAAGUCAGCGGUAAAAGGCCGGGGCUCAACCCCGGCCCGCCGUUGAAACUGGGGGUCUUGAGUGGGAGAGAAGGAUGCGGAAUGCGCGGUGUAGCGGUGAAAGGCAUAGAUAUCGCGCAGAACUCCGAUUGCGAAGGCAGCAUGCCGGCGCCACACUGACGCUGAGGCACGAAAGCGUGGGUAUCGAACAGGAUUAGAUACCCGGGUAGUC
RNAcentral lists this ribosomal RNA (459 nucleotides) under uncultured bacterium. Its description in RNAcentral is "partial 16S ribosomal RNA". It matches the Rfam family "Bacterial small subunit ribosomal RNA", at positions 338 to 795 of the family's 1533-position model. The record is from RNAcentral.